This 505-nucleotide ribosomal RNA is filed under the name uncultured bacterium. Its description in RNAcentral is "partial 16S ribosomal RNA". It matches the Rfam family "Bacterial small subunit ribosomal RNA", at positions 28 to 507 of the family's 1533-position model. The record is from RNAcentral.
GACGAACGCUGGCGGCGUGCCUAAUACAUGCAAGUAGAACGCACAGUUUAUACCGUAGCUUGCUACACCAUAGACUGUGAGUUGCGAACGGGUGAGUAACGCGUAGGUAACCUGCCUGGUAGCGGGGGAUAACUAUUGGAAACGAUAGCUAAUACCGCAUAAUAUUGAUUAUUGCAUGAUAAUUGAUUGAAAGAUGCUAUUGCAUCACUACCAGAUGGACCUGCGUUGUAUUAGCUAGUAGGUGAGGUAACGGCUCACCUAGGCGACGAUACAUAGCCGACCUGAUAGGGUGAUCGGCCACACUGGGACUGAGACACGGCCCAGACUCCUACGGGAGGCAGCAGUAGGGAAUCUUCGGCAAUGGACGAAAGUCUGACCGAGCAACGCCGCGUGAGUGAAGAAGGUUUUCGGAUCGGAAAGCUCUGUUGUAAGAGAAGAACGGGUGUGAGAGUGGAAAGUUCACACUGUGACGGUAUCUUACCAGAAAGGGACGGCUAACUACGUG